GGACUACUCGGGUUUCUAAUCCUGUUUGCUCCCCACGCUUUCGCACCUCAGCGUCAGUACCGGGCCAGUGAGCCGCCUUCGCCACUGGUGUUCUUGCGAAUAUCUACGAAUUUCACCUCUACACUCGCAAUUCCACUCACCUCUCCCGGACUCAAGAUCCCCAGUAUCAAGGGCAGUUCCGAGGUUGAGCCUCGGGAUUUCACCCCUGACUUAAGGAUCCGCCUACGUGCGCUUUACGCCCAGUGAUUCCGAACAACGCUAGCCCCCUUCGUAUUACCGCGGCUGCUGGCAC
RNAcentral lists this ribosomal RNA (292 nucleotides) under uncultured bacterium. RNAcentral describes it as "partial 16S ribosomal RNA". The record is from RNAcentral.